This 440-nucleotide ribosomal RNA is filed under the name uncultured Sulfurimonas sp. RNAcentral's name for it is "bacterial SSU rRNA". It matches the Rfam family "Bacterial small subunit ribosomal RNA", at positions 338 to 795 of the family's 1533-position model. The record is from RNAcentral. Lineage: Bacteria; Pseudomonadati; Campylobacterota; Epsilonproteobacteria; Campylobacterales; Sulfurimonadaceae.
CCUACGGGAGGCUGCAGUGAGGAAUAUUGCACAAUGGGGGAAACCCUGAUGCAGCAACGCCGCGUGGAGGAUGACGCAUUUCGGUGUGUAAACUCCUUUUAUAAGGGAAGAAAAUGACGGUACCUUAUGAAUAAGCACCGGCUAACUCCGUGCCAGCAGCCGCGGUAAUACGGAGGGUGCAAGCGUUACUCGGAAUCACUGGGCGUAAAGGACGCGUAGGCGGGUUGGUAAGUCAGAUGUGAAAUCCUACAGCUUAACUGUAGAACUGCAUUUGAAACUACCGACCUAGAGUAUGGGAGGGGGAGAUGGAAUUAGUGGUGUAGGGGUAAAAUCCGUAGAUAUCACUAGGAAUACCGAAAGCGAAGGCGAUCUCCUGGAACAUUACUGACGCUAAGGCGUGAAAGCGUGGGGAGCAAACAGGCUUAGAUACCCCGGUAGUC